UACGAAGGGUGCAAACGUUGCUCGGAAUCAUUGGGCGUAAAGCGCACGUAGGCGGCGCUGUAAGUCAUACGUGAAAUCCCUCAGCUUAACUGGGGAACUGCGUGUGAUACUGGAUGGCUUGGAUUUGGGAGAGGGAUGCGGAAUUCCAGGUGUAGCGGUGAAAUGCGUAGAUAUCGAGAGGAACACCUGCGGCGAAGGCGGGUAGCUGGGCCGACACUGACGCUGAGGCGCGAAAGCCAGGGGAGCGAACGGG
Molecule: ribosomal RNA, 253 nt
Filed under: uncultured bacterium
Lineage: Bacteria
Description: partial 16S ribosomal RNA
Rfam family: Bacterial small subunit ribosomal RNA
Source: RNAcentral